UUAAGGAACUCGGCAAAUUGCCCCCGUAACUUCGGGAGAAGGGGGGCCACCGAUGGUGAGACCACAUGCUGGUGGAGCGGUUGGUGGCCGCAGAGACCAGGGGGAAGCGACUGUUUACUAAAAACACAGGUCCAUGCGAAGUCAUAAGACGAUGUAUAUGGACUGACGCCUGCCCGGUGCUGGAACGUUAAGGGGACCUGUUAGUCCGUGAGGGCGAAGCGGAGAACUUAAGCGCCAGUAAACGGCGGUGGUAACUAUAACCAUCCUAAGGUAGCGAAAUUCCUUGUCGGGUAAGUUCCGACCUGCACGAAUGGCGUAACGACUUCCCCACUGUCUCAACCACAGGCCCGGCGAAAUUGCACUACGAGUAAAGAUGCUCGUUACGCGCGGCAGGACGGAAAGACCCCGGGACCUUCACUAUAGCUUGACAUUGGUACUCGAAUUCGAUUGUGUAGGAUAGGUGGGAGCCUGUGAAGCGGCCACGCCAGUGGUUGUGGAGGCAAGCUUGAAAUACCACUCUGUUGGAUUUGGGUAUCUAACUUCGGACCGUGAUCCGGUUCAGGGACAGUGUCUGGUGGGUAGUUUAACUGGGGCGGUUGCCUCCUAAAAUGUAACGGAGGCGCCCAAAGGUUCCCUCAGCCUGGUUGGCAAUCAGGUGUUGAGUGCAAGUGCACAAGGGGGCUUGACUGUGAGACUGACAGGUCGAGCAGGGACGAAAGUCGGGACUAGUGAUCCGGCACUGGCAGGUGGAAGCGGUGUCGCUCAACGGAUAAAAGGUACCCCGGGGAUAACAGGCUGAUCUUCCCCAAGAGUCCAUAUCGACGGGAUGGUUUGGCACCUCGAUGUCGGCUCGUCGCAUCCUGGGGCUGGAGUAGGUCCCAAGGGUUGGGCUGUUCGCCCAUUAAAGCGGUACGCGAGCUGAGUUUAGAACGUCGUGAGACAGUUCGGUCCCUAUCCGCCGCGCGCGUAGGAUACUUGAGAAGGGCUGUCCCUAGUACGAGAGGACCGGGACGGACGAACCUCUGGUGUGCCAGUUGUUCUGCUAAGAGCACGGCUGGCUGGCUACGUUCGGAAGGGAUAACCGCUGAAAGCAUCUAAGCGGGAAGCUCGCUUCGAGAUGAGGUAUCCCACCCCUUGAGGGUUAAGGCCCCCAGCGAGACCACUGGGUUGAUAGGCCGGAAGUGGAAGCCUGGUAACAGGUUUGAGCUGACCGGUACUAAUAGGCCGAGGACUUGACCC
RNAcentral lists this ribosomal RNA (1239 nucleotides) under metagenome. Its description in RNAcentral is "bacterial LSU rRNA". It matches the Rfam family "Bacterial large subunit ribosomal RNA", at positions 1705 to 2925 of the family's 2925-position model. The record is from RNAcentral.